UACAGAGUGGGCAAGCGUUAUUCGGAAUUACUGGGCGUAAAGUGUGCGCAGGCGGUUUCGCAAGUCCAGUGUGAAAGCCCCGGGCUUAACCUGGGAACUGCGCUUGAAACUACGGAACUCGAGUAUGGCAGAGGAAGGUGGAAUUCCACGUGUAGCGGUGAAAUGCGCAGAUAUCAGGAAGAACACCCGUGGCUAAGGCGGCUCUCUAGUACGGUACUGACGCUGAGACGCGAAAGCGUGGGGAGCGAACAGG
Molecule: ribosomal RNA, 253 nt
Filed under: uncultured bacterium
Lineage: Bacteria
Description: partial 16S ribosomal RNA
Rfam family: Bacterial small subunit ribosomal RNA
Source: RNAcentral